CGCUCGGCCUCCGUUGGGUAAGGUGCUGUCUCUCAUAAGGACGGACUGGCGGGUUCAAGCCCCGCACGAGCGACCA
This 76-nucleotide transfer RNA is filed under the name Bradyrhizobium sp. 41S5. RNAcentral describes it as "tRNA-Ile". Lineage: Bacteria; Pseudomonadati; Pseudomonadota; Alphaproteobacteria; Hyphomicrobiales; Nitrobacteraceae. The record is from RNAcentral.